UAGCAGAGCAUUUGUUUUUUAGAUGGGGUCAGUGACCCCCUUUUUUUUUUUUUGGAAAGAGUGAAAAGAAGACCGGAGGAAAACUAAAAACUGAUUCUAUAAACACCUUGAAAAAAACUUUCUAUUAGGGGUUCUUUUGUCCAGCCCCUCUCUAAAAUCAUCAAUAAGCCUGACAUUUGACUUUUAAGUCACCUGCAUUGGAGAAAUCCCAUAAUUUCUGGCACAGAUGGAGAAAGUGGAUUUAGAGCACUCUGCGAUGCCCAGGGAGAUAAGAAGGUCCAAAUAAUAUGGUACUAGGCCGAAGUACUUCUCUUUCUAGCUUUGAUAAGUGGGUUCAUUACCAAGUAGGAACUUACUGCUUCAAACCCCUUACAACCUCCCUGCCAUCAGGUUGAAGCCUUCCAGAAUCGGACUGUAUCCACUCUUGCUGCAUAUGGAGAAGGAAUACUGGGAAAAAAACAUUGGAAAUUUGGCAUUGAUGUCUGUGGUCAUUAAAUCUAUCUCUGGGUGACCCCAGAUUGAUGUAAUCUGAUGAGGAACCUUGGGAUUUAGGGCCCACUCCCCCUUGGGUACAGAGUGUCUGCUCAGAAAGUCUACCUGCAAAUGCUGGGGUCCUGCUAUGUAGAGAUCUGUGAUAUUAACUACGUGUAAUUGAGCCCAACCCAUUAUGGGGUUGUCACACUGAACAGGGUUGAACUCUGAGCCCUCCUUGGCUCUUGAUAUAAGACAUGACUGAGGCAUUGUCCAACCCUGGUUUGGACUCAAAUCCUAAGAGAAUAUUAUGGAAUGCUAGAAGAGCAACCCUGACUUCAUGUUCGACCGAAUCUGAGAAAGAUUCCAAGCUCCCUGAGCAUAAAGGCUUAAGAGAUGAGCUCCUCAACCUUUUUCUGAGGCUUCAAAGAAAAGUUGUAUCUGUGCAGCCUCAACCAGGGGAAGUCCCAUCCAAAGACUGCUGGCUAUUUGCCACCAAGACAGAUAUUCCUUGCACCAACCUGGAGACUGGAUCAGUCUCAUCCUCCACUUGGCUCACCAGACCAGGCCAGAUCUAUAUUGGAAAUCAGAAGCCAUAAAGACAGUUUUCUGAAAGAAAAUCUGAGAUUUUGAAAGAGAUGUGAUGUAUCUUCUAUAGAAGAGAAAGGAGCCCCUACGUCGAUAAUUAUCUGCAAAGGAGAAACUUGACUCUUUGCAGCUGAACUCCCAAAACUGCUCUGGUUCUGUUGAGAUGAGUAAAAAGAGUGGAAGUAUCUCUGGCAACUGACAGAACAUUGUCUAGUUACUCGUAGAUAGUGGUAGUUUCUUUAGUAUUGGGAAGAAGGGGAUUUGGCCCCAGAUCAGGCAAGUCCCUAGGGCGGAAACAAAUUAAGUCAUUGGACAUUGUAUUGUACAGUAUUUUAGGCAGAAAUAUAUUUUAACUAAAAAGAAUUGCUGUUGAUGGUGGCCCCCUGUGUUGUAGGCUCUGAGAUAUUCCAGCCCUGAAAAAAUUGUCUUUCUUUAACUUGCCAGUAGGGGUCCCCCUGGAGCCACUUGCACUUUCUGCGCUGACUUGAUCAGUGUCACAGUGAGUUGCACAAGAGAGAAGACUUUUAAGGAACUAACAUCAGUCUUUACUGUCUGCAGCAAUUUAGUUUCCCCAUUGUCGUUUCCAAGCAAGAGCAGCUCAGUGCCUCCAGGACUACUCCACACUUACACACUGCUCAACUGUUCCAGCAUGAGAGGGAUUUACUUCAAAGAGAACUUCUGGAGUACUGAUAUCACGAGCAUCGCUGGGUAUGAAUGUCUCAUCCAACAUAUGAAUGACGGGAGGAAGAACUUAAAGGAAUAUGAAGAUUUCCUGAAAGAAAGGGCCAGCAUAGAAGAGAAGUAUGGAAAAGAUCUCGUUAACCUGACCAAGAAGAAACCAUGUGGACAGACGGAAAUAAACACCCUCAAGAGAGCCCUUGAUGUCUUCAAACAACAAAUUGAUAAUAUUGGUCAGAGUCACAUUCAACUGGCGCAAACGCUACGGGACGAGGCGAGAAAGAUGGAGGAAUACAGAGAAAGGCAGAGGCAGGAGCGAAAAAAGAUAGAAGCUAUUAUGGACACCUCUCAUAAACAGAAACUGAUGCAGUACAAAAAGACAAUGGAGUCGAAGAGGAAUUAUGAGCAGAGAUGUCGGGAGAAGGAUGAAGCUGAACAAGCUGUGGCCUGUUACAAAAAUAUGGUGAAUACCAAACAGCAAGACAAGGUUUUUGCUAAACUGGCACAUUCAAAGGUGACAGCCGAAUCUGCAGAUAAGUCUUACCAACAAAAUAUCUUCUUACUUGACAAAAUAAGGGAAGACUGGCAAAAGGAUCAUGUCAGCUCCUGCGAGUUUUUGGAGAAUCAGGAAUGGGAGCGAGUAAAUUUCUUCCGGAACGCGGUGUGGACGCAUGCCAAUCAGCUGUCCCAGCAAUGUGUAACCAUCGAUGUGAUGUGUGAAGUGGUCCGGAAAGCUUUAGAAGGAUGUAACAUAGAGAAGGACGUUGAAUAUUUCAUAGAAGGUCACAAGACGGGAAACGUCCCACCAGCCCCCAUUCCUUAUGAAAAUUACUAUAACUGCCAAAAGCGCUCUCCAGCCCCUGCCUGGAACCCUGGGAUGCCAGAAAUAAGAUGAUCCUGCUUAUGCUUCUGUGGGGGACUACAAUGUGUACCAGUAGCCAUCAAAUAAUAAAUUGUACAGAAUAAGGGCGGAAGAAGUGUUUGUUUUGCCCUAGUUGGACAUCAUGGAAGUUCUUCUGGAGUGCAAAGAAAUUUGAAUCAAAUUUGCCCCCAAGCGACAGUUGCAGAUCCAGUCCAAAGACUGCACCCUCGGAACCUUUGCCCCUCAUCUGAUACGUUUCUGGUAGGAAGGAAAGACGGGAACACUUCCAGCAUUCCGUGACUUUAAUGUUUCCUUCCCUGAAGGAAGAACAUGGUGUAAAUGUAAAUGGCAGCGCUGCCAUGAACUCUUUGUGUUUCAGACAAUGGCACUCGGUGUAAAUGACAUUUAGCAGCCUCGCUGGCAGGUGUCUGUUUGUGAGUCUUAAAAAUUCAGAAUUUCAGCAUUUGGCACGAAACGUCAAGAGUGGAAUGAACCCAAGGAAACGGUUUCACCCGUCAGACCCAGAGAUAACACUUAAGGAUUGAACUGUUUUAACUUGUCGUCUACUGAUAUUUGCUUAAUAA
RNA transcript from Xenopus laevis (African clawed frog), 3183 nucleotides. It is a transcript of the gene named proline-serine-threonine phosphatase interacting protein 2 L homeolog, with no coding region annotated. The transcript has 14 exons. NCBI's taxonomy places the organism in Eukaryota, Metazoa, Chordata, Amphibia, Anura, Pipidae. The record is from RefSeq and is marked provisional.